AUACGGAGGAUGCGAGCGUUAUCCGGAUUUAUUGGGUUUAAAGGGAGCGUAGGCGGGAGCUUAAGUCAGCGGUUAAAUCGUGGGGCUCAACCCCAUUCUGCCGUUGAUACUGGGGGGCUUGAUUGCGGACGAGGUUGGCGGAAUUCGUUGUGUAGCGGUGAAAUGCAUAGAUAUGACGAAGAACACCGAUUGCGUAGGCAGCUGACCAGACCGCAAAUGACGCUCAUGCACGAAAGUGCGGGGAUCGAACAGGAUUAGAUACCCUGGUAGUCCGCACAGUAAACGAUGAAUACUUGUUUUCGGCGAUAUAAUGUCGGAGGCAAAGCGAAAGCGAUAAGUAUUCCACCUGGGGAGUACGCCGGCAACGGUGAAACUUAAAGGAAUUGACGGGG
This 392-nucleotide ribosomal RNA is filed under the name uncultured bacterium. RNAcentral describes it as "partial 16S ribosomal RNA". It matches the Rfam family "Bacterial small subunit ribosomal RNA", at positions 523 to 918 of the family's 1533-position model. The record is from RNAcentral.